GGAUACGUGUGACAGAUAAGAAGGGCUGGUGGGAUCAGUCCUGGUGGUAGCUCAGGAAGCAGAGCCUGGAGCAUCUCUACUAUGGCCUGGGCUCCACUGCUUCUCACCCUCCUCGCUCACUGCACAGGUUCUUGGGCCAAUUUUAUGCUGACUCAGCCCCACUCUGUGUCGGAGUCUCCGGGGCAGACGGUCACCAUCUCCUGCACCCGCAGCAGUGGCAGCAUUGCCAGCGACUAUGUGCAGUGGUACCAGCAGCGCCCGGGCAGUGCCCCCACCACUGUGAUCUAUGAGGAUAACCGAAGACCCUCUGGGGUCCCUGAUCGGUUCUCUGGCUCCAUCGACAGCUCCUCCAACUCUGCCUCCCUCACCAUCUCUGGACUGAAGACUGAGGACGAGGCUGACUACUACUGUCAGUCUUAUGAUAGCAGCAAUCACACAGUGCUCCAGACCCAUGGGGAAGUGAGACAGAAACUCCCCAGAGCAUCUCUACCUGGGCCAGUCUCAGCCUGUCUCCACCGGAGUGGGUAGCUCUCCCAUCUCUCCUGCCUAAGUGCUUGAGGUGAACUUUGCUUAUGACUUCCUCUUUUCCUUUUCAAA
Pan troglodytes (chimpanzee) is the source of this 597-nucleotide non-coding RNA. NCBI's taxonomy places the organism in Eukaryota, Metazoa, Chordata, Mammalia, Primates, Hominidae. The record is from the annotation of a RefSeq genome assembly.